Molecule: long non-coding RNA, 977 nt
Organism: Stegastes partitus (bicolor damselfish)
Lineage: Eukaryota; Metazoa; Chordata; Actinopteri; Pomacentridae
Exons: 3
Source: RefSeq, a predicted model, not a curated record
AUCCCGGCGAGUGCAGGCAUCACUGAAGACCUGACAUCGGCGGAAUCGGACGUCCACACUGGUCCUCGGCGCAGCUGACCAGGUGUUUAUCUUUGCGCAAAAAAAAAAAAAAAAAAAAAAGACAAAAAAGAAACAACUUUAUGACCAUCCGAUGAGACUGAGCGUCGAUGAGAGUGACCUCCCCGUGCGUCGCCGGAGGAACAGACUUUUUCUUUUUUUUUUCCCAUUUUUUUUUUUGCCGUCUCCAAACGGGGGAGAAUCGCAAAGGGGCGAGACAAUAACGCCCCAGAAGUUAUUGAAAUGAAUCGUCAUGAAAGGGAGCUGGCACAAGAAGAAGAAGAAACUGAAGAGUGCUCGCAGUGUUAGCCUUCACCGCGGAGGGAAGAAAGAGAAGCAGAAAAACACCCCCCGAGCAGAACGCAACGAGGGGAAAGACGAAUGAUUAAAGAGAGGUCCAGACAUGAAGGAGGCACGCAAGCACAUUCACACACACACACACACACACACACACACACACACAUAUUCAGUUCAAUGGCACCUACAGUCUGUCUGCGGUCUACCACCACCCUGCCCCUCACACACACACACACACACACACACACGCCUGUUACGGUAAGAAUCAGAGACCACCGAGUCGGGAGGGUAAUAACGGCACAAAUGUGAGAAAACAAACUCAUUAUCUGCUGCUGUUUUCCUUCUCCGAGUAAUUAAAGACAAAAUUUCUAUUCCUGAAUGUGUCAAAUUCUAAAAAAAAAAAAAUAAUAAUUUACUUCAAUGACAACACAAGAUUUAGCUUCUAUUUAACAAGAAAUGUUUUUAAUUCUAAUUCACGCGAAACAAUUUCAUUCGUGUCCGUAAUGCGUCCAUGUGUGCACGCUUUCUUUUUUUUUCUUUCCUAUUACCGUCUUUCAAAACCAAUCCACAAGUUUAACAGCCGCACCACAUAUCCCACAACCUCCCUCCCUCCCUCCCCCCCA